Molecule: unclassified non-coding RNA, 366 nt
Filed under: uncultured Ascomycota
Lineage: Eukaryota; Fungi; Ascomycota
Description: sequence contains ITS1
Source: RNAcentral
CACAACCCGGCCCUGACGGUGGCGCAGAUCGAGGAGAUCAUCAAAUCGACGGCGGAGGACAAGGGAGCGGCGGGCUGGGAUUCGCUGUAUGGCUGGGGGCGCAUCAACGCGAAUGCAGCGUUGAUUGCCGCCACACCCGAAUGCCCGGCCGACCUCACCGGCAACGACACGGUGAACGUGGAUGACCUGCUGGCGGUGAUCGACGCCUGGGGCUUCUGCCCGAAGCCUCCGGCCGCUUGCGCCGGGGAUAUCUAUCCUCCGGAAAGCGGCGGAAACGGCACGGUGAAUGUGGAUGAUCUGCUGAUGGUCAUCAACGCGUGGGGGGCGUGCCCGUAACAGCCUGAUCUCCAGGGGAGGGGUUGAACG